GCCUCUGUAACUCAGUUGGUUAGAGCACUGCACCGGAAUCGCAGGGUCGCAGUUUCGAUUCCUGCCAGGGACC
This is a non-coding RNA of Paramuricea clavata, 73 nucleotides long. NCBI's taxonomy places the organism in Eukaryota, Metazoa, Cnidaria, Anthozoa, Malacalcyonacea, Plexauridae. The record is from the annotation of a GenBank genome assembly.